CGGACGGGUGAGUAAUGCUUGGGAAUCUGGCUUAUGGAGGGGGAUAACUACGGGAAACUGUAGCUAAUACCGCAUAAUAUCGAAGGAUUAAAGGGUGGGACUUUCGGGCCACCUGCCAUGAGAUGAGCCCAAGUGGGAUUAGGUAGUUGGUUAGGUAAAGGCUGACCAAGCCGACGAUCUCUAGCUGGUCUGAGAGGAUGACCAGCCACACUGGAACUGAGACACGGUCCAG
Molecule: ribosomal RNA, 232 nt
Filed under: uncultured bacterium
Lineage: Bacteria
Description: partial 16S ribosomal RNA
Rfam family: Bacterial small subunit ribosomal RNA
Source: RNAcentral